Molecule: ribosomal RNA, 253 nt
Filed under: uncultured bacterium
Lineage: Bacteria
Description: partial 16S ribosomal RNA
Rfam family: Bacterial small subunit ribosomal RNA
Source: RNAcentral
UACAGAGGGGGCAAGCGUUGUUCGGAAUUACUGGGCGUAAAGGGCGCGUAGGCGGUUCGUUAAGUCCUGUGUGAAAUCCCCCGGCUCAACUGGGGAACUGCACAGGAAACUAGCGGGCUUGAGUUCGGGAGAGGGAAGCGGAAUUCCGGGUGUAGCGGUGAAAUGCGUAGAUAUCAGGAAGAACACCCGUGGCGAAAGCGGCUCUCUGGAACGGUACUGACGCUGAGACGCGAAAGCGUGGGGAGCGAACAGG